This 460-nucleotide ribosomal RNA is filed under the name uncultured bacterium. RNAcentral's name for it is "partial 16S ribosomal RNA". It matches the Rfam family "Bacterial small subunit ribosomal RNA", at positions 338 to 795 of the family's 1533-position model. The record is from RNAcentral.
CCUACGGGAGGCAGCAGUGAGGAAUAUUGGUCAAUGGGCGCAAGUCUGAACCAGCCAUGCCGCGUGCAGGAUGAAGGCUCUAUGGGUUGUAAACUGCUUUUGUACGGGGGUAAACCCCGAUACGUGUCUCGGGUGGAAAGUAUCUUACGAAUAAGGAUCGGGUAACUCCGUUCCAGCCGCCGCGGUAAUACGGGGGAUCCGUGGGUUGUCCGGAUUUUUUGGGGUUAAAGGGUGCGUAGGGGGUUUGAUAAGGUAGAGGUGAAAGGUCGGGGCUCAACCCCCAAACUGCCUCUAAUACUGGGUGACUAGAGAAGAGGUGAGGUAGGCGGAAUGUAUGGUGUAGCGGUGAAAUGCUUAGAGAUCAGACAGAACACCGAUUGCGAAGGCAGCUUACCAAACUAUAUCUGACGUUGAGGCACGAAAGCGUGGGUAGCAAACAGGAUUAGAUACCCCUGUAGUC